CGGGGAUAGCAAGCGGACUCCCCGGCUUGCCCAGACGCUCGCCGCGUCCAAGCUCUGC
RNAcentral lists this non-coding RNA (58 nucleotides) under unclassified sequences. Its description in RNAcentral is "chromate-resist RNA". It matches the Rfam family "chrB-b RNA". The record is from RNAcentral.